RNAcentral lists this ribosomal RNA (305 nucleotides) under uncultured bacterium. RNAcentral describes it as "bacterial SSU rRNA". It matches the Rfam family "Bacterial small subunit ribosomal RNA", at positions 334 to 653 of the family's 1533-position model. The record is from RNAcentral.
UUAGCCUACGGGAGGCAGCAGUGGGGAAUAUUGGACAAUGGGGGGAACCCUGAUCCAGCGACGCCGCGUGAGUGAAGAAGUAUUUCGGUAUGUAAAGCUCUAUCAGCAGGGAAGAAAGAAAUGACGGUACCUGACUAAGAAGCCCCGGCUAACUACGUGCCAGCAGCCGCGGUAAUACGUAGGGGGCAAGCGUUAUCCGGAUUUACUGGGUGUAAAGGGAGCGUAGACGGUUACGCAAGUCUGGAGUGAAAGGCGGGGGCCCAACCCCCGGACUGCUUUGGAAACUGUAUAACUGGAGUGCAGGG